Molecule: long non-coding RNA, 512 nt
Filed under: Camelus dromedarius (Arabian camel)
Lineage: Eukaryota; Metazoa; Chordata; Mammalia; Artiodactyla; Camelidae
Description: lncRNA (ENSCDRG00005006005.1)
Source: RNAcentral
CAUACUGGCUGCACCAAACUACAGUCCCACCAACAGCUAGCCCAAACUUUUGAAACAUUUUCCCUUUGCCUCCUUUAGAUGCCCCUGGUUACUGCCCAGCUGCAUGUUUGGGGCUCCACAAAGCAUGAACAUCACAGCCAUUCAUUAGCCUGAGAACCUGGACUAGCCUGGGGACGUGAGCCUACAUUCAAGAGGGUUACAAGGCCAAAUCUGUGCCAGGUGGAGGAUGGAUGGGUGCCUGGGAUGCCCGAUGGAAGCCAGCACGGUGGGCCAGGAAGAGAUGGCCCAAACAAAGUUUGGUGUUUUUGAGAACUUGACAUUUCCCUUCCCCGGUGCCCACAGCUGCAGGAGCAUCAUCGGCUAGCACGUGGCAUCUUUUGGGUACUUGGGAGUCACUACAGCUUCCAGGGCUUCAGCGUGUUAAAGUGUCCUGGGGAGACCACACAGCAGCCAUCUAUACUGGGUGAAAUUUUUCUGCUCCUGGAGGAUCAGCUGAGUCAUGACUUCCUCUG